UCUGUAUUGAAUGACAUCCAGAAGCUGCAGAACAAGCAGUUUCUUUUGGUCCAUGGCACUGCAGAUGGUGAGACACAAGUCCAUGGAAUGAGCAGGUGCAUGUUGGGCAGCAUCAUUGAAGUACAUUAUAAAUGCAUAGCAUGCGUUACUAAUGGACAUGAAAGCACACAUUGAGGAUUAUUUACAACCAAGCCAACGUGCACUUCCAGCACACAGCUGAGCUACUAAGUCGUCUGAUCCAGGCUGGAGCCAAUGUCACCAGUAGGAUUUACCCUGAUGAGGACCAUUUCUUCCUGUCAAAGGGCAGUCAGCGCAACCUGCACCAGUCAGUAGUCUCCUAUCUGCAGAACUGUCUUCAGGGGGAUGGCAUACGACAAAGUGGCCAGUGAGAGAUGGACCUGGCUAGCCUCACACAGAGCACAAGUAGAUGAUCUAAGAAAGGACCAUGCUUAUGGACUUAUUGGGGCUACUCAAUAAUAAAUGCUUCCUUGGUGGUGAAUUGCCUGCAGCUCAUCGCUUAUGAGAAAUUGAACACAGUUUGGCAUAAUGUUUUGCUUAUAGUGUACAUCUUCAUCUGUUACAUGAAUCUUCAUUUUUUCAUUGCUUUGAAUAUUUUAUAGUCUGGGGCAAACACUAGUGCACCAAACCAAAAUACCUCCACUUGCUAAGUUUGUAUAAGCAAGGUGCCAGAUUUCAAUGACUUUACCAGCAGCAGAGGCCAGCUGAACACGUCAUGUGACAUUGCAGAUGUAUGAAGCAUUAUUGCAGCAAUACACCAGGA
This is a long non-coding RNA of Pseudophryne corroboree (corroboree frog), 781 nucleotides long. RefSeq lists it as uncharacterized. The record is from RefSeq and is a predicted model, not a curated record. The transcript has 3 exons. Lineage: Eukaryota; Metazoa; Chordata; Amphibia; Anura; Myobatrachidae.